This 1667-nucleotide ribosomal RNA is filed under the name Acinetobacter baumannii. RNAcentral's name for it is "partial 23S ribosomal RNA". It matches the Rfam family "Bacterial large subunit ribosomal RNA", at positions 1279 to 2925 of the family's 2925-position model. The record is from RNAcentral. Lineage: Bacteria; Pseudomonadati; Pseudomonadota; Gammaproteobacteria; Moraxellales; Moraxellaceae. RNAcentral also lists the same sequence under 1 other name.
GUAUCAGAAGUGCGAAUGCUGACGUGAGUAACGACAAAACGGGUGAAAAACCCGUUCGCCGAAAGACCAAGGGUUCCAGUCCAACGUUAAUCGGGGCUGGGUGAGUCGACCCCUAAGGCGAGGCCGAAAGGCGUAGUCGAUGGGAAAAUGGUUAAUAUUCCAUUACUUCUGUGUAAUGCGAUGAGAGGACGGAGAAGGCUAAAUCAGCCUGGCGUUGGUUGUCCAGGUGAAAGGAUGUAGGCAUGUAUCUUAGGCAAAUCCGGGGUACUCUAUGCUGAGAUCUGAUAGCAAGCUGUACUUGUACAGCGAAGUGGUUGAUGCCAUGCUUCCAGGAAAAGUCUCUAAGCUUCAGUUACACAGGAAUCGUACCCGAAACCGACACAGGUGGUCAGGUCGAGUAGACCAAGGCGCUUGAGAGAACUCUGCUGAAGGAACUAGGCAAAAUGGUACCGUAACUUCGGGAGAAGGUACGCUGUUGUUGGUGAUGGAACUCGCUUCCUGAGCUGACGACAGCCGCAGAAACCAGGCCGCUGCAACUGUUUAUUAAAAACAUAGCACUCUGCAAACACGAAAGUGGACGUAUAGGGUGUGAUGCCUGCCCGGUGCUGGAAGGUUAAUUGAUGGGGUUAGCGUAAGCGAAGCUCUUGAUCGAAGCCCCAGUAAACGGCGGCCGUAACUAUAACGGUCCUAAGGUAGCGAAAUUCCUUGUCGGGUAAGUUCCGACCUGCACGAAUGGCAUAAUGAUGGCGGCGCUGUCUCCAGCAGAGGCUCAGUGAAAUCGAAAUCGCUGUGAAGAUGCAGUGUACCCGCGGCUAGACGGAAAGACCCCGUGAACCUUUACUGCAGCUUGACACUGAACUUUGACCUUACUUGUGUAGGAUAGGUGGGAGGCUUUGAAGCUGGAACGCUAGUUCCAGUGGAGCCGUCCUUGAAAUACCACCCUGGUAAUGUUGAGGUUCUAACUCUGUCCCGUGAUCCGGGACGAGGACCGUGUCUGGUGGGUAGUUUGACUGGGGCGGUCUCCUCCUAAAGAGUAACGGAGGAGUACGAAGGUGCGCUCAGCGUGGUCGGAAAUCACGCGUAGAGUAUAAAGGCAAAAGCGCGCUUAACUGCGAGACCCACAAGUCGAGCAGGUACGAAAGUAGGUCUUAGUGAUCCGGUGGUUCUGUAUGGAAGGGCCAUCGCUCAACGGAUAAAAGGUACUCUGGGGAUAACAGGCUGAUACCGCCCAAGAGUUCAUAUCGACGGCGGUGUUUGGCACCUCGAUGUCGGCUCAUCUCAUCCUGGGGCUGAAGCAGGUCCCAAGGGUAUGGCUGUUCGCCAUUUAAAGAGGUACGCGAGCUGGGUUUAGAACGUCGUGAGACAGUUCGGUCCCUAUCUACCGUGGGCGCUGGAAAUUUGAGAGGAUCUGCUCCUAGUACGAGAGGACCAGAGUGGACGAACCUCUGGUGUACCGGUUGUGACGCCAGUCGCAUCGCCGGGUAGCUAUGUUCGGAAGGGAUAACCGCUGAAAGCAUCUAAGCGGGAAGCCUACCUCAAGAUAAGAUUUCCCUAGGACUUUAUGUCCUCUAAAGAGCCGUUCGAGACUAGGACGUUGAUAGGUUGGAUGUGGAAGCAUAGUGAUAUGUGAAGCUGACCAAUACUAAUUGCUCGUGAGGCUUGACUAU